This 253-nucleotide ribosomal RNA is filed under the name uncultured bacterium. RNAcentral describes it as "partial 16S ribosomal RNA". It matches the Rfam family "Bacterial small subunit ribosomal RNA", at positions 524 to 776 of the family's 1533-position model. The record is from RNAcentral.
UACGUAGGUCCCGAGCGUUGUCCGGAUUUAUUGGGUGUAAAGGGUGCGUAGGCGGCUUGGCAAGUCAGUAGUGAAAUCCAUGGGCUUAACCCAUGAACUGCUAUUGAAACUGUCGAGCUUGAGUGAAGUAGAGGUAGGCGGAAUUCCCGGUGUAGCGGUGAAAUGCGUAGAGAUCGGGAGGAACACCAGUGGCGAAGGCGGCCUACUGGGCUUUAACUGACGCUGAGGCACGAAAGCGUGGGUAGCAAACAGG